AAAUUCCCGCCGCCCCCCCCCCCAACCGAUUUCUCCUCUGAUUAAUGCAGGGCAUUGGCACCUUACGUUUGUUACAACUGAUGAACUAAUGUUGAUGCAUUAUUGACUCAAGUGCACAGGUCAAGCUUAGAGCCACUCUUGGUGUCGUACCUUCCAGGCAUCUGGCAGCCGGGUAUGUAUCACGUACCCACCACGACAGCAUCCUACGGAGUAUUCACUGCCCUGAAACUCCUCUGUGCUCCGUUCAUCCCGCCCCACCCCACCCCCUGGCACCCACUGACCUUUUUUCUGUUUCCGCGGUUCUGCACUUUCCAGAAUGUCACAUACUUGGAAUCAUACAGUAGUACCAUUGAGGACUUCUGAAUGGAGAGAUUUUCGGAGGGCGGCUGGGGCAGUGGGCCAUAGAAGGGACGGGAAAGGGAGAAGCUGGAGGCAGAGAGACUGAUUAGGAGCUUGCUGGACAGUGCAGACGAGGAAACUGAGGCCCGGAGAGGCCCAGGAAGUUGCUCCCGCCCGCAACCACCCUGCAUCUUGGCCACAUGGAGAAGCCCUCCCCAGACGUUCACCCGGCCCUUCUGCCGGGGCCACCCCCUGCCCCCUGUCCCCGCGCCCCCUGAAUCGAGGCUGGCUCUGUCUUGCAAAUAAAGCAAUAAUGACCCCUGUGACGCUGGCUGGGGGGUGAGCGGCGGGAACGCGGCAGGCGGGGCCGGCAGAGGUGAGAACUGGGGGUCCCGGUCGAGAUCCCUAGGCAGGGGCCUCCAGGUGAGCUCUCCAAACGCCACCCUUGGAUGGGCCUUGUUCCCCUCGAGCGGGAUAGCGUUUAUUCUUCCCUCGGGAACAGUCACCAGGGCCGGGGGAACGUUGCGCAACGAGACUGCCAGCCAGGUCCCCUCCGCUCCUCCGUUUCUGUGGCUCUUGCCAGUUUACCCACUGCUAAUAACAGUAGGUCUGCUGUGCGGAGGGCCAACCUGUGCUGGCCUGCACCUCGCACAGUCAUCACCUGCAUUUCAGACCGGCGAAAACCGGGGCACUUGCCCGGAGUCACCUGGAGAGUCAGUGGAGCGAUCAGAAUCGGAACCCAGGGCCGUCCAAGGAAAGCACCCUUCCCCUCUGCCACGCGGUCGUCCCUCGGCCACCCGGGAGCCCGUACACCCGAGGGGGCACCCUGCCAGUGUCGCUGGCCUGACACGCGCGGGCAGGACUUGAGUGUGUGUCUUCCCCCCCGGUCCAGAAAACCAGCCUGUCCGAGCUCCCCACCUAAGACAGAAGGCGACUGGUGCUCUGAGGGUCCACCAUAGACAUUCACACGCACCCAGCGCUUUUCCCUAAGUGCUUUCCACGGUCGAUCUCAUUUGAGCCUCAGGUCAACCAUUAUCCACUUUGAAGAUGAGGCGUUCUAAAGGCCAAGCCCCUGGCCCAAGACCACAGGACAGCAAGGAGGACGAUGACCCAGGUCUGACUUCUCGUCCUGACCUCCUUCCACCCUACGCCACCAGCCCCGGGUCGGUCCCCUGGGGAGCGGUGUCCCAACAGAAUGAGCUUCCAGAAUCCCAGCUGGAGUGCAGCCUUGGCCGGGCUGUGGCCACACUGCCACCCGACAAGCCCAGGGGCCCAUCCCAACGCGACUCAGGUCCGUGCCGAGACGGCUGCAGGGACCGGUCGUGCAAAGGUGAGGGCACCAUCCGAGGCCCAGAGGGCUGGCUCCGGGGGUGGGGGCUGGGCUUUCUUCCCUCUCGUGGCGCCUGGGUUCCCCAUCUGGCUUUCAGCUCCAAGUCAAAAUGUG
Long non-coding RNA from Leopardus geoffroyi (Geoffroy's cat), 1783 nucleotides. RefSeq lists it as uncharacterized. NCBI's taxonomy places the organism in Eukaryota, Metazoa, Chordata, Mammalia, Carnivora, Felidae. The record is from RefSeq and is a predicted model, not a curated record. The transcript is spliced from 3 exons.